ACUUUUCUCCCUCACUUCUGAUGGGAAGGAAAAGGAUUUGAAGAGUAGGCAGGUCCUCUGUUCUGAGCAUUUUCCUUGUAGUGUUUCAAGCACACACUACAAAUGAAUCCUUUCUGCAGCAAGUUGUGUCUCAGGGAGCCGAGAGGAAAUGAGCGGAUUGUGAUGUGGUCCCGGUGAAUUUGUUAUAACGUUUACAAGGCAACUCUUUUCCCAUCAGAAAGGAGCUUCCUGGGAAAGUAAAGCUGAAAUGAUGUUGCUCACGAACCUGAAAAGUUUCUGAGAGAGGAAAUUAAGGAUGAAUCCAGCUUUAUGAACAGUCACUCCUAUUAGUCAUUUAUCAGCACUGCUUCUUAAGAGCGUGGAUUUUGUACGGAGGAUGGUUCUGAAUGUCAAGACUGACGUUUUCUCAACCUGAACACAGCACCGCACACCGGCCUUGCUCUGGUUCCCACCGGCCCCAGCUACUCCACAUCCCAGGUGCCACGCACGAGCCAAAGACACAGCCCAAGGAUGAAGUAAUGGGAGCUGACCUGCAGCCUGCAACGUGAUCGGGGCAGUACAGAGCAGCAUCGGGUGAAUUGAACACAGAGAGGUGCGAGCAGAGCUGACCGUGCACCGGGCUGCACCAGCCUUCCUGCUGUUCCUCGAAAAACUCCCAGCCACAUACUGGCAUGAACAGAUCCCACUCAGUUCUUGGCAUUUAGCACGCUCACAGGCUGCAGUGAUUCAUAGAAAGCUCCUUGUUCUGGCCCUGGAAUGAGCGUACAUGUUUCAGAGCCUUUUUUUCAUGCAGCUAUGCUGCAGUCUCCUAAAAAUGCAUGUGCAGGCAGAUCGUUCUGCAGAUCCUAUGGCAACGGGCUGCACGGCGGCUGGCUGGCUGCAUGACAAUGUGCAAGGCUUGUGCAUGGAGAAACACCACGCUCACAGGGAGAAAACUUCCUAGGAAUAUUAGUAUGCAGCACCCACUGCCAAGAUAUCAUAGCAAUCCAGCAAGAUCUGACUGCUCAGAAUUAUUAUUCAUGUACAGUGGAAUAUGUAUUUUUUUUUUAAGCAGCAUUGUAAAUUAAUGCCAGCAAAACGUAAUUUGUAAUUUAAAUGUAAAUCAGAAUUGAGUAAGGAUAUAAUGAAGCUCCGAAUGCCUCGGUGGUAUUUGCUAACCCGUCUGUUUUGUGGUGCUUUUUUCACCAAGAUGUUAAAGUUCAUUGUUCAUGCUGAAUACCUCCAAGUGUGUUAUCUGUAUACGUGUGCAGUAAAUACAUACAUAAUAACGAAAGCUCAGGCUACGUGCUGUUGAACUCUGGAUUGACACAUCUGACACAUUUGAUGUAUUUCUGCCAAAAGGAAGGCUGCUUUGCACAGAGGGUGAGAUGACAACUUGCUUUUCCCAUGCACUUUCUCAGCCAACUUUACACACAAAGGUACCUGGGCCCAAAGCCUGCUGCCAGACACGUGGCUCCGGUUGCCUUUGACAAGCAGAACUGAAAUUAUUACUGACAGCUGAAAUGAAGAUUUUAAUACUUACUCAAGCUCUUUUUUGCAUAGAGCCAGGAGCAGCACAGCCUACGAUGUGUGGUGUGUCAGCCACUUACAUCAAAGUAAAUGCAAGCUGAGGCUUUGCAGCACUGGAAGGAUGUCCAGCAACUUUCCGCGUGCUGCAGCCAAGUGGGUUUUCUUCAUACAAAUAGUGGGUAAAGGUGCAGAGGGAAGCUUGCCCUUUUAUGAAACUGAGGACAUACCUACAUUAGCAGUAUGCAGAGUGUAAGUGGUGUUAAACAGUGCUUAAAUGUAACAAAGGAGGAAAAUUGGGAACAAAGU
Long non-coding RNA from Gallus gallus (chicken), 1815 nucleotides. The record is from Ensembl. NCBI's taxonomy places the organism in Eukaryota, Metazoa, Chordata, Aves, Galliformes, Phasianidae.